This 73-nucleotide transfer RNA is filed under the name Acanthoscelides obtectus. RNAcentral describes it as "hypothetical protein". It matches the Rfam family "tRNA". Rfam says of the family: Transfer RNA (tRNA) molecules are approximately 80 nucleotides in length. The record is from RNAcentral. Lineage: Eukaryota; Metazoa; Arthropoda; Insecta; Coleoptera; Chrysomelidae.
GCCUCUGUAACCCAAGUGGUAAAGCACUGGACUUGUAAACAAGUUGUCGUGAGUUCAAUCCUCACAAAAGGCA